This 253-nucleotide ribosomal RNA is filed under the name uncultured bacterium. RNAcentral's name for it is "partial 16S ribosomal RNA". It matches the Rfam family "Bacterial small subunit ribosomal RNA", at positions 524 to 776 of the family's 1533-position model. The record is from RNAcentral.
UACAGAGGGGGCGAGCGUUAUUCGGAAUUAUUGGGCGUAAAGGGCGCGUAGGCGGCUUUGCAAGUGACGGGUGAAAGCCCUCGGCUUAACCGAGGAACUGCCUGUCAGACUGUAAGGCUUGAGACCGGGAGAGGUGAGUGGAAUUCCCAGUGUAGCGGUGAAAUGCGUAGAUAUUGGGAGGAACACCAGUGGCGAAGGCGGCUCACUGGACCGGAACUGACGCUGAGGCGCGAAAGCGUGGGGAGCAAACAGG